CACUGUGGUGAGCAGACAGGGAGGGGAAAAUAAUGGAGCGCCUGCACAACCCACUGUGAGCCGGCAGAUGUGCUGGCUCCCACUCCUCCGGCCUGGCCGCACUCUCCGGGCACCUGCCACAGGAGCUGGGGGCUGCAGCCUCGACCGGGGUUUGGGAAGGGGCAGAAACAGCGUGGUGCCCCAAAGGGGAGGGUUCAAGGAGAAAAAAGAAUAAGAAGAAAGGCAGAGCCCUGUCCUUGGAAUGCAAUGCAUGGGCACCACGGUGGGCUGGGCCUCAGCCUCUCACCUAGAUAUCUGAGCACCUGUCCGUCUGGGCCAUCAGCGGCUGCUCAGGACUGCCCGCUUUGUUUCAGUGCUUCGGGUCCAGCAAAUGUCCUGUCAUUACCAGCUCCACUGGCAGCCUACAGAACAAUGGAUGAGCGGAUCUACGUGUACUUUUCAGCCAGAUGUUACAGCCCCAGCAACACCUGGAAAAGCGGCAGGGCAGAGAGCAGGUGACCUUCAAACAUGGGCUGAGCCGCCUAGCUGCUGAGCCGCAGGUAUCCAUCCACUGCUGCGUCCAUGGAGCUCCUCUGUCCACCACAGCUGCUUACGGAAGAGACGCCAACCUCCCCCGCCUACAGCUGCAGGGCUCCAACAGAACCAUCUGUUAGGGCAUGAAGAGCUCCACGUGUGUGGGACGUUGAGUAAACCAGAGAUCCUUUGCCACCUUUCCCACUGCAGGUACCUUCCCUUCCACGUGUCCUCACCCUGAGGGCCUCUGAGAAUCAGAGACAGGCAAAUGCUCCAGCCUCUCUCUGGCUCAGGCAUCGCCCACUCAGCUCCUGUCAGGCUGGCCUGGUGAUGCUUCCUUGUCUGUGAGCAGUGAGAAUAAAUUCCAAAUUUGAAAGGUCCUUCAGAGAUAUAACAGCAUUGUGUGUGAUGAACCAAGCAGAGAACUGGGACACAAGGAUCAUGUGGGCACACUGCCUUCCGGACGACUGGGCAACCCAGCCUCACAGAAGCAGUGUCUGGGCUGAGGGCAAAAGUUACAACAUCAACAACAUCCCUGCUCGGAGAA
This is a long non-coding RNA of Eptesicus fuscus (big brown bat), 1060 nucleotides long. RefSeq lists it as uncharacterized. The transcript is spliced from 4 exons. NCBI's taxonomy places the organism in Eukaryota, Metazoa, Chordata, Mammalia, Chiroptera, Vespertilionidae. The record is from RefSeq and is a predicted model, not a curated record.